Molecule: non-coding RNA, 184 nt
Filed under: Alishewanella sp.
Lineage: Bacteria; Pseudomonadati; Pseudomonadota; Gammaproteobacteria; Alteromonadales; Alteromonadaceae
Also listed under: 6 other names
Description: 6S RNA
Rfam family: 6S / SsrS RNA
About the family: E. coli 6S RNA was the first non coding RNA to be sequenced, but its function was unknown until recently. It consists of 184 nucleotides that fold into an extended hairpin structure with a large single-stranded internal bulge. The 6S RNA specifically associates with RNA polymerase holoenzyme containing the sigma70 specificity factor.
Source: RNAcentral
CGUUCUCUGGGUUGUUUGUGUGCUUGUUGACGUCCCUGAGCCGAUAAUUGUUUUACCUAGGGAUGCUUUUGCGUUGCUUUUGUGCAGGCCCGGCUUGUACUGGGAAGCCUACGGUGACCAUUGGCCUUCCGCCUUGAACCUUGGGUUCAAGGGCUUAAAUAAGUUACGGCAACUUGGAGAACAC